Molecule: ribosomal RNA, 322 nt
Filed under: uncultured eukaryote
Lineage: Eukaryota
Description: partial 18S ribosomal RNA
Rfam family: Eukaryotic small subunit ribosomal RNA
Source: RNAcentral
CCCUUAGAUGUUCUGGGCCGCACGCGUGCUACACUGAGUGGAUCAGCGGGUCAGGUUACGCGAGAGCGUUUCCUAAUCUUCAAAUCCGCUCGUGAUGGGGAUUGACGGUUGCAAUUUUCCGUCAUGAACGAGGAAUACCUUGUAAGCGCGGGUCAUCAUCCCGCGCUGAAUACGUCCCUGCCCUUUGUACACACCGCCCGUCGCUCCUACCGAUUGAGUGGUCCGGUGAGGCCUUGGGAUCUAAGCGAAAAGAGCGUUUCGCUCCUUUUGCUGGGAGAACUCAGUCGAACCUUAUCAUUUAGAGGAAGGAGAAGUCGUAACA